This 467-nucleotide ribosomal RNA is filed under the name uncultured bacterium. RNAcentral describes it as "bacterial SSU rRNA". It matches the Rfam family "Bacterial small subunit ribosomal RNA", at positions 329 to 792 of the family's 1533-position model. The record is from RNAcentral.
GGCCAGACUCCUACGGGAGGCAGCAGUGAGGAAUAUUGGUCAAUGGGCGCGAGCCUGAACCAGCCAAGUCGCGUGAGGGAGGACGGCCCUACGGGUUGUAAACCUCUUUUGCCGGGGAGCAACGGGCGUCACGUGUGGCGCCACUGAGAGUACCCGGAGAAAAAGCAUCGGCUAACUCCGUGCCAGCAGCCGCGGUAAUACGGAGGAUGCGAGCGUUAUCCGGAUUUACUGGGUGUAAAGGGAGCGUAGACGGCAAUACAAGUCGGAAGUGAAAUACCCGGGCUCAACCUGGGAACUGCUUUGGAAACUGUAUGGCUAGAGUGCUGGAGAGGUAAGCGGAAUUCCUAGUGUAGCGGUGAAAUGCGUAGAUAUUAGGAGGAACACCAGUGGCGAAGGCGGCUUACUGGACAGUAACUGACGUUGAGGCUCGAAAGCGUGGGGAGCAAACAGGAUUAGAUACCCUUGUA